RNAcentral lists this ribosomal RNA (494 nucleotides) under uncultured bacterium. RNAcentral's name for it is "partial 16S ribosomal RNA". It matches the Rfam family "Bacterial small subunit ribosomal RNA", at positions 28 to 507 of the family's 1533-position model. The record is from RNAcentral.
GACGAACGCUGGCGGCGUGCCUAAUACAUGCAAGUCGAGCGGACUUAAAAAGCUUGCUUUUUAAGUUAGCGGCGGACGGGUGAGUAACACGUGGGCAACCUGCCUGUAAGACUGGGAUAACUUCGGGAAACCGGAGCUAAUACCGGAUAAUCCUUUUCUACUCAUGUAGAAAAGCUGAAAGACGGUUUACGCUGUCACUUACAGAUGGGCCCGCGGCGCAUUAGCUAGUUGGUGAGGCAACGGCUCACCAAGGCGACGAUGCGUAGCCGACCUGAGAGGGUGAUCGGCCACACUGGGACUGAGACACGGCCCAGACUCCUACGGGAGGCAGCAGUAGGGAAUCUUCCGCAAUGGACGAAAGUCUGACGGAGCAACGCCGCGUGAGUGAUGAAGGUUUUCGGAUCGUAAAACUCUGUUGUUAGGGAAGAACAAGUACGAGAGUAACUGCUCGUACCUUGACGGUACCUAACCAGAAAGCCACGGCUAACUACGUG